UACGGGGGGUGCGAGCGUUAAUCGGAAUUACUGGGCGUAAAGGGUGUGUAGGUGGUUAUUUAAGUUAGUUGUGAAAGGCCUGGGCUCAACCUGGGUAUGUCAACUAAGACUGGAUGACUUGAGUAUAGGAGAGGGUAGUGGAAUUUCCGGUGUAGCGGUGAAAUGCGUAGAGAUCGGAAGGAACACCGGUGGCGAAGGCGGCUACCUGGCCUAAUACUGACACUGAGGCACGAAAGCGUGGGGAGCAAACAGG
This 253-nucleotide ribosomal RNA is filed under the name uncultured bacterium. Its description in RNAcentral is "partial 16S ribosomal RNA". It matches the Rfam family "Bacterial small subunit ribosomal RNA", at positions 524 to 776 of the family's 1533-position model. The record is from RNAcentral.